ACACUCCUACGGGAGGCAGCAGUGGGGAAUAUUGCACAAUGGGCGCAAGCCUGAUGCAGCCAUGCCGCGUGUAUGAAGAAGGCCUUCGGGUUGUAAAGUACUUUCAGCGGGGAGGAAGGCGAUAAGGUUAAUAACCUUGUCGAUUGACGUUACCCGCAGAAGAAGCACCGGCUAACUCCGUGCCAGCAGCCGCGGUAAUACGGAGGGUGCAAGCGUUAAUCGGAAUUACUGGGCGUAAAGCGCACGCAGGCGGUCUGUCAAGUCGGAUGUGAAAUCCCCAGGCUCAACCUGGGAACUGCAUUCGAAACUGGCAGGCUAGAGUCUUGUAGAGGGGGGUAGAAUUCCAGGUGUAGCGGUGAAAUGCGUAGAGAUCUGGAGGAAUACCGGUGGCGAAGGCGGCCCCCUGGACAAAGACUGACGCUCAGGUGCGAAAGCGUGGGGAGCAAACAGGAUUAGAUACCCUAGUAGUCCCAUGAU
This 477-nucleotide ribosomal RNA is filed under the name uncultured organism. RNAcentral describes it as "partial 16S ribosomal RNA". It matches the Rfam family "Bacterial small subunit ribosomal RNA", at positions 333 to 801 of the family's 1533-position model. The record is from RNAcentral.